Monodon monoceros (narwhal) is the source of this 101-nucleotide small nuclear RNA. The record is from Ensembl. Lineage: Eukaryota; Metazoa; Chordata; Mammalia; Artiodactyla; Monodontidae.
GUCCUUUAAAAAGGAUAAAAAAGUUCUUUUCGAUACAGAGAAGAUUAGCAUGGUCCCUGUGGAAGGAUGACAUGCACAUUUGUGAAGCGUUCCAUAUUUUU